Molecule: ribosomal RNA, 781 nt
Filed under: uncultured euryarchaeote
Lineage: Archaea; Methanobacteriati; Methanobacteriota
Description: bacterial SSU rRNA
Rfam family: Archaeal small subunit ribosomal RNA
Source: RNAcentral
UGCCAUCAGAGUCGAUUUAGCCAUGUUAGUCGAGGGUGCUUCUUCUUUGGAAGAUGUAACCCGGCGGACGGCUCAGUAACACGUGGAUAACUUGCCCUUGGGUCUGGGAUAACCCCUGAGAAAUUGGGGACAAUACCAGAUAGGGCAUCGAUAGCUGGAAUGCGCGAUGUCCAAAAGCUGAGGCGCCCAAGGAUAGGUCUGCGGCCGAUUAGGUUGUUGUUGAUGUAAUGGAUCAACAAGCCUGCAAUCGGUACGGGUUGUGAGAGCAAGAGCCCGGAGAUGGGUUCUGAGAAAAGAACCCAGGUCCUACGGGACGCAUCAGGCGCGAAAACUUUACAAUGUGCGAAAGCACGAUAAGGGAACUCUGAGUGCCUCCUAUGGAGGCUGUUCAGGUGUCUAAAAAGCACUUGAAGUAAGGGCUGGGUAAGACCGGUGCCAGCCGCCGCGGUAACACCGGCAGCCCAAGUGGUAGCCACGAUUAUUGGGUCUAAAGCGUCCGUAGCCGGCCAGGUAAGUUCUUUGGGAAAUUUAACCGCUCAACGGUUAAGCUUUCAGGGAAUACUGCUUGGCUUGGGACCGGGAGAGGUCAGAGGUACUUCAAGGGUAGGGGUGAAAUCCGUUAAUCCUUGAGGGACCACCAGUAGCGAAGGCGUCUGACCAGACCGGGUCCGACGGUGAGGGACGAAGGCUAGGGUCGCGAACCGGAUUAGAUACCCGGGUAGUCCUUAGCUGUAAACGAUGCGGGCCAGGUGUUGGCAUUACUGCNAGUGAUGUCAGUGCC